This 486-nucleotide ribosomal RNA is filed under the name uncultured bacterium. Its description in RNAcentral is "partial 16S ribosomal RNA". It matches the Rfam family "Bacterial small subunit ribosomal RNA", at positions 30 to 507 of the family's 1533-position model. The record is from RNAcentral.
AUUGAACGCUGGCGGCAUGCCUUACACAUGCAAGUCGAACGGCAGCACGGGUGCUUGCACCUGGUGGCGAGUGGCGAACGGGUGAGUAAUACAUCGGAACAUGUCCUGUAGUGGGGGAUAGCCCGGCGAAAGCCGGAUUAAUACCGCAUACGAUCUACGGAUGAAAGCGGGGGACCUUCGGGCCUCGCGCUAUGGGGUUGGCCGAUGGCUGAUUAGCUAGUUGGUGGGGUAAAGGCCUACCAAGGCGACGAUCAGUAGCUGGUCUGAGAGGACGACCAGCCACACUGGGACUGAGACACGGCCCAGACUCCUACGGGAGGCAGCAGUGGGGAAUUUUGGACAAUGGGCGAAAGCCUGAUCCAGCAAUGCCGCGUGUGUGAAGAAGGCCUUCGGGUUGUAAAGCACUUUUCUCCGGAAAGAAAUCCUUGGCCCUAAUACGGUCGGGGGAUGACGGUACCGGAAGAAUAAGCACCGGCUAACUACGUG